RNAcentral lists this ribosomal RNA (497 nucleotides) under uncultured bacterium. RNAcentral describes it as "partial 16S ribosomal RNA". It matches the Rfam family "Bacterial small subunit ribosomal RNA", at positions 28 to 507 of the family's 1533-position model. The record is from RNAcentral.
GAUGAACGCUGGCGGCGUGCCUAAUACAUGCAAGUAGAACGCUGAAGGAAGGAGCUUGCUCUUUCCGGAUGAGUUGCGAACGGGUGAGUAACGCGUAGGUAACCUGCCUGGUAGCGGGGGAUAACUAUUGGAAACGAUAGCUAAUACCGCAUAACAGUAGAUGUUGCAUGACAACUAUUUGAAAGGGGCAAUUGCUCCACUACCAGAUGGACCUGCGUUGUAUUAGCUAGUUGGUGAGGUAACGGCUCACCAAGGCGACGAUACAUAGCCGACCUGAGAGGGUGAUCGGCCACCCUGGGACUGAGACACGGCCCAGACUCCUACGGGAGGCAGCAGUAGGGAAUCUUCGGCAAUGGACGGAAGUCUGACCGAGCAACGCCGCGUGAGUGAAGAAGGGUUUCGGAUCGUAAAGCUCUGUUGUAAGAGAAGAACGAGUGUGAGAGUGGAAAGUUCACACUGUGACGGUAUCUUACCAGAAAGGGACGGCUAACUACGUG